RNAcentral lists this ribosomal RNA (253 nucleotides) under uncultured microorganism. Its description in RNAcentral is "partial 16S ribosomal RNA". It matches the Rfam family "Bacterial small subunit ribosomal RNA", at positions 524 to 776 of the family's 1533-position model. The record is from RNAcentral.
UACGUAGGGUGCGAGCGUUAAUCGGAUUUACUGGGCGUAAAGCGCGCGCAGGCGGCCUGGUAAGUCAGGUGUGAAAUCCCUGGGCUCAACUCAGGAAUUGCGUUUGUGACUGCAGGGCUCGAGUAGGGUAGAGGGGGGUGGAAUUCCUGGUGUAGCAGUGAAAUGCGUAGAGAUCGGGAGGAACACCGAUGGCGAAGGCAGCUCCCUGGGCCUGUACUGACGCUCAUGCACGAAAGCGUGGGGAGCAAACAGG